This 1084-nucleotide long non-coding RNA is filed under the name Gadus morhua (Atlantic cod). RNAcentral's name for it is "lncRNA (ENSGMOG00000026241.1)". Lineage: Eukaryota; Metazoa; Chordata; Actinopteri; Gadiformes; Gadidae. The record is from RNAcentral.
UGGUAUUAUGGGCUUCUGGUCACCGUGGGAACGCACAAUGACCCCCCCCCACCUGUACAGGUGACCUCCGUAUUCACCUGUUUCAGGUAUCAGAGAUAGGAAGGGGACUAAAUGGACUCCAUUUAUACAGCGCUUUUCUAACCAGUGGCCACUCAAAGCGCUUUACAAUACUGCCUAACAUUCACACAUUCAUCCACCGACAGCGGUGGGAACCACACAAGGCGACAGCCAGCUCGGUAGGAGCAGUCAGGACGAGGUGUCUUGUCUAGGAGGAGCCGGGGAUCAAACUAGCAACCUUCCGGUCCCCAGUCAACCCACUCUGCUGUCAUCAGGCGUCAGGGUUUUGGUUCUCAAAGUACGACCAAAGAUAUCGACUGUCCAACUUUUCUGUGAUUUUCCUCGGAAGCGGAGUGCAUAUUGCGGACGUCUGCGUGGGCAGAGUGAAUCAGAGAGCAUUCUGGGUGCAAAACGAGAACAAAACGUUGAGGAGAGUGUGAGUGCGUCACUUGUUGUCCGUCAGCGCCAGAGGAACAGACUACUACAAAAGCGAUCGAGUUGUGAAGUGCGACAGGUCGGGCGAUCAAGGCCUCCCUGUUCCACCGGCGUCACUCCUACACCUCCGCAGGUUCCGACACCUCCUCUGAUGAUCGGCUCUCUGACGUCAGCCGAACACAGCCCUGGAUACAGACACAGCCACCCUCCGGCUCUUUACCACUCUGUUUCUCUCUCUGCCUAUCUCGCUCUAUUUCUCCCUCUCUUUCUCUCCCUCCGUCUUUCUCUCUCUUCCACACUCUCCCUCUCUCUCUUUCUCUCCGCCUAUUCCACAGUCUCCCUCUCCCUAUUUCACACAAUCUCUCUCUUUCUCUCUCCACCUUUCUCUCUCUCCCCCUCUCUCUCUUUCUCCCUCCAACACUCUCUCCCUCUCUCCCCCCCUCCCUCUGAUUGUCAAGUGUCUCCUCUUAGUGAUGAGUCUCAUUGUAAUUCUGAUAAUUGCUCCGGCUCCAUGAUAAUACAUAAUAACACAGACAUUUUGUUCAUGCUAAUAACCACACUCUGCUGAAUGUUCUAAAAUGGCUGCUUAAUG